This 808-nucleotide long non-coding RNA is filed under the name Salmo salar (Atlantic salmon). Its description in RNAcentral is "lncRNA (ENSSSAG00000119739.1)". The record is from RNAcentral. Lineage: Eukaryota; Metazoa; Chordata; Actinopteri; Salmoniformes; Salmonidae.
AGAAGAAGCCUGAAGGAGGAGAGAUUACUAGAAACAAAAUCUGUUUACUAUUUUAUCUGUGGAUUAGCUGUCGGAGAAGAGGAGCUUGUGAAAUUCAGAUAAAAUAACAACCCAAUGUGUAUAUCCCAUGACAAAUUAGCUAACAACAGCAAGAUACCUGGCUAAAUUGGCAUACAUUUUUAAUGCUUUUCGACCUGUCCUCAAAUUAUGUAGUUGGUUCAGAGUUUAGAUUUUUCAACCUGCGUGUCCUGAUCGCGUCUGGUGUGGGUGAACAAAAUCAACACACGCGAGUGGUGUGUUAGCAUGUCCUGGCCUGGUGUUCAUAGUGUACUCCCAGGCAGUGUCCCUGCUCCCCUGCCCUCAGUUCUGGGCUGUGUGUUUCUUCACCAUGAUCAUCCUGUUAGGAUUGGACAGCCAGCGCCUCGAGGUGAACUGUUGGCCAGCAGAUGACCUUCCCAUGAUGAAGCAGGAUAUGGCAGAGGACUCAAGCCCUAGGACCAUGCCUCAGGACUACCUGGCCUGAUGACUCCUUGCUGUCCCCAGUCCACCUGGUCCUGCUGCUGCUCCAGUUUCAAUUGUUCUGCCUGUGGCUAUGGAACACUAACCUGUUCACCGGACGUGCUACCUUGUCCCAAAACUGCUGUUUUGGACUCUCUCUCUACCGUACCUGCUGUCUCUAACUCUGAAUGAUCGGCUAUGAAAAGCCAACUGACAUUUACUCCUGAGGUGCUGACCUAUAAUCUCCACCCAGCACAGCCAGAAGAGGACUGGCCACCCCUCAGAGCCUGGUUCCUUUCUAGGUUUCUUC